RNAcentral lists this ribosomal RNA (443 nucleotides) under Lactiplantibacillus plantarum. RNAcentral's name for it is "bacterial SSU rRNA". It matches the Rfam family "Bacterial small subunit ribosomal RNA", at positions 131 to 560 of the family's 1533-position model. The record is from RNAcentral. Lineage: Bacteria; Bacillati; Bacillota; Bacilli; Lactobacillales; Lactobacillaceae.
CAGAAGCGGGGGAUAACACCUGGAAACAGAUGCUAAUACCGCAUAACAACUUGGACCGCAUGGUCCGAGCUUGAAAGAUGGCUUCGGCUAUCACUUUUGGAUGGUCCCGCGGCGUAUUAGCUAGAUGGUGGGGUAACGGCUCACCAUGGCAAUGAUACGUAGCCGACCUGAGAGGGUAAUCGGCCACAUUGGGACUGAGACACGGCCCAAACUCCUACGGGAGGCAGCAGUAGGGAAUCUUCCACAAUGGACGAAAGUCUGAUGGAGCAACGCCGCGUGAGUGAAGAAGGGUUUCGGCUCGUAAAACUCUGUUGUUAAAGAAGAACAUAUCUGAGAGUAACUGUUCAGGUAUUGACGGUAUUUAACCAGAAAGCCACGGCUAACUACGUGCCAGCAGCCGCGGUAAUACGUAGGUGGCAAGCGUUGUCCGGAUUUAUUGGGCG